UGCUCGAAACAUUCAUUCGAUCGGUGGC
Molecule: non-coding RNA, 28 nt
Filed under: Bombyx mori (domestic silkworm)
Lineage: Eukaryota; Metazoa; Arthropoda; Insecta; Lepidoptera; Bombycidae
Source: RNAcentral